GAUGAACGCUGGCGGCGUGCCUAAUACAUGCAAGUCGAGCGAACAGACGAGGAGCUUGCUCCUCUGACGUUAGCGGCGGACGGGUGAGUAACACGUGGAUAACCUACCUAUAAGACUGGGAUAACUUCGGGAAACCGGAGCUAAUACCGGAUAAUAUAUUGAACCGCAUGGUUCAAUAGUGAAAGACGGUUUUGCUGUCACUUAUAGAUGGAUCCGCGCCGCAUUAGCUAGUUGGUAAGGUAACGGCUUACCAAGGCAACGAUGCGUAGCCGACCUGGGAGGGUGAUAGGCCACCCGGGAACUGAGACGCGGUCCAGACUCCUACGGGAGGCAGCAGUAGGGAAUCUUCCGCAAUGGGCGAAAGCCUGACGGAGCAACGCCGCGUGAGUGAUGAAGGUCUUCGGAUCGUAAAACUCUGUUAUGAGGGAAGAACAAAUGUGUAAGUAACUAUGCACGUCUUGACGGUACCUAAUCAGAAAGCCACGGCUAACUACGUG
This 497-nucleotide ribosomal RNA is filed under the name uncultured bacterium. RNAcentral describes it as "partial 16S ribosomal RNA". It matches the Rfam family "Bacterial small subunit ribosomal RNA", at positions 28 to 507 of the family's 1533-position model. The record is from RNAcentral.